AUUGAACGCUGGCGGAAUGCUUUACACAUGCAAGUCGAACGGUAGAGGGGGCAACCCCUCGAGAGUGGCGAACGGGUGAGUAAUAUAUCGGAACGUGCCCAGUCGUGGGGGAUAACGUAGCGAAAGUUACGCUAAUACCGCAUACGAUCCAAGGAUGAAAGCGGGGGAUCGCAAGACCUCGCGCGAUUGGAGCGGCCGAUAUCAGAUUAGGUAGUUGGUGGGGUAAAGGUUCACCAAGCCAACGAUCUGUAGCUGGUCUGAGAGGACGACCCGCCAAACUGGAACUGGGACACGGUCCAGACUCCUACGGGAGGCAGCAGUGGGGAAUUUUGGACAAUGGACGCAAGUCUGAUCCAGCCAUUCCGCGUGCAGGAUGAAGGCCCUCGGGUUGUAAACUGCUUUUGUACGGAACGAAAAGGUCUCUCUUAAUACGGGGGGCUCAUGACGGUACCGUAAGAAUAAGCACCGGCUAACUACGUGCCAGCCGCCGCGGUAA
RNAcentral lists this ribosomal RNA (496 nucleotides) under uncultured bacterium. Its description in RNAcentral is "partial 16S ribosomal RNA". It matches the Rfam family "Bacterial small subunit ribosomal RNA", at positions 30 to 523 of the family's 1533-position model. The record is from RNAcentral.